AUCAAGAAGGUAUCCCACUUACUUCAACCCGCGAAGAAGGAAGCACUACGAAGAUUGCAACGUCAAGCUCGGGAAGCUACUACCCAGAUAGAGAAAUCUUCGUCAUCACAUCACCAAACAACGAUGCAGGUGCCAGCCACCAAAAAACUCCUCGACGGGUUGGACAACUCGACGAUGUCUCACAAGAUGAGUUGUCAUCUAAUGCCCUGCAAGAUGAAACCUCUGAACAGAGAAAUCAAAGAAGGGCAUGCAAUGCUGCCUGAGCAGAUCAUCGUCGGCUACUAGCUACGAACAUUCCUAUCGUGAACCUCGAAAGAGCAUUCGACGCAGUGCAAGCUCGAGAGAGCUGGAUAAAGACCGCGGCACUCAUCACCCAUCACUCGCGAGUUACAGCACGGACUUAGCUGGAUCAUGAGAUGCAAGAUGAGGCACGCGGCAAACCCUCCUACGAGGAUUCUUUUAGCAUCGCGGCUAUCUCUACGAGCGCAAGAGUAUGUGGAGGGAAGGUGGCUCUAGUCUACGAGGAAUCUUCUAGCACCGGGGCGCUCUUUGAAAGCUUUCUACAAUCAAACAACAGCAAUCUAAAGCAAUCCAUCGCUACUCCGGAGAAGCAUGACCUUGGUCGACCCCCCAGUGGCCUAUUUAUAGCCAAGGGCCACAACCACCACCUACUCAGAAAUUACUACUCACUUGUGACGGUCAGCAAGGCACUCUCUGAGCCCACUCACGUGAAGGCAUUCAUCCACAACAAGAUAGAAAUGAAUAGUUCGCCCGUGAACACCUUUCAAAACUCAAUAGAGGUCAGAGUACUUUCAAACAAGCAACACCAAUAAUUGACAACCGCAGCGGGAAAUACGACUACUCGGUUAAACUCGGACUUGUUUCUCCCAACUACAAAGAUUAGUCAAGACGAUCAUUGAGCACAUUCGGACUUCAAAUAAAAUUCAGAAAAUUAUCUUGAGUACUCCCACAAAGUACUUGGCAAGUUACAACUCGAAAGAUCAACAAGACUAAGGCUCCUCUAAAGAGACAAACUCAAACAUCUUCGAAGCAAUUGGCUCAGCCUCCUUAAGAUACUGCACAUAAGCAUCUUCUGUACAGUUCCGAGCAACACUGUCACCAGCCGCCGUCAAAUCUGCCCUCAGGUAAUACGACUUGACCAUCGCAAGGACCUGUUUCCAAACAGCCUUACAGAGGCCAGCAACUUUACCCAGAGCAGUUUUUAGCCGCUCGACUAGUGAGCGAGGCCUAGAAUCAUCUUCAAGCAGAGCAAUGGUAUUGACCACCUCCUGCGCAGCACUAGUCAAUUCUUGGAGCUCACCUCGCAGCCUUUCUAUGGUCCUACCAUGGUCCCUACAAGCCACCAUCACCAUAGCAAGCAUAACUCCAUUUUGAUUUUUUCUAUUCCUCUCAUGUUCACAAGCAUCUUGAGCCUCAACCAAUGAUGCUCGGAGAUGGUCAGCCUCAUCAGCUACCCGGUCGUGAGCAUUCCUUCAAUCAUGCACUUGACUACUGACAAUAUCUUCUUUUCUCUUAAGUUCUGCACCAAAGUACCACAUAUCAGAACCCACAACUAUAGUCAAAUAUACUCAAAAAUCACGAGUACUCACCUUGAUACUUCUUGUUCAAGGAUUUAUAGCGGUUCUCCAAUCGCUCUUGCAGGACUUCAUGGUCACUCCACUCUACCGCAAAAGACUUUGCAGCAUCCUCAUGAACUCUCAAGGACUCUGUAAGUCGGCUACAUUCUUGCUCCAGUUGCGCCACUCGUUGCACAGUGUCAUUUCGCUCCUGGAGGGUCCGAGUAUUUCUUUGGGCUCUGUCAUACAGGUCCUGCAAGUAACUCAAAAGCAUGUUGUCAAGACUCGUCAAAAUGCAAUCAGUCAAAAGAUGAUAAGUUCACACACCUGAAAGCUCUGGAUAGCUCUUCGAAACUCUGACUCCGACGGCAGCUUGAGUACCGGACCCUCGGUGUUCUUAGCAAUCUGAGGCUCCAGACCUUCACCCAAAAUAGCCCCUGACAAACAAAACUCAUGGGUCAUCACAGGAUACAAUACAUCGACUUCAAAAAGCACCUGUACCCCAGCUACAUACCUGGUGCACUGACUUCACCCACUUUGGUCGCAUCAACUAAAGCCAAGGUGCCACCAAUAGUUGUUGAAGACAACACACCCCUAGAACUCGAGGAAACCAUUGGGACCUCCACUGAGCGGAUAACCUCUUGAAGCAUGGAGAUAGUGGCACCAAGAUGACUUGUGUCUUCAACCUAAGGCGCAUCGUCCAUCGACAAAUCAACUAAGGGACCAGAAAGUGUAGUCAGAAGACCAGCCUCCACUCUUGUGUCCACAGGAAUGGUAUCCUCAGCAUCCCUGGGUCAAAACACGAGGUGAUCACCCAUUUUUCGGAAGUUCAAAAAUACAAUCAAAAGAAAGAUUACACAAAAAGUCACUGAGAUGAUCGCGGUGGCAAUCACACACGUUUCUUCUCAAUGACUGCUGGUUGAGUACUCAGCACCACAGGGGCCGUCGGAGGUAUAACCUUUACUUUCUCGCCAAAUCCUGAAAAAAACAAGGAUGAGACUGCGAAGUUUCAGACUACCAAAUAAUCAGAAUACUCACCACUAGCGAUAACAUCGGACAACAAAGCACCAGUAGCAACCACCGGUGUCUUCACGACAUCAGUCACCUCAGAAGAUGCACCCCCGGUAACCUGCUCGGGGGCUACCAACUCAGGACCUGCCAGUGCCGGGGCUGCAGGCUUGGAGGCUGCUGUUCCCGAGUUUAUGAGUGGCACCCCCACCAGCAACUCUUCAACAGUCGCGAGACUGACAACGGCGUCCUUAGCAAUCACGACUACCUCACCAGAAGUAGCCUCAUCAUCGCCCGCAGUUGUGUCAUUGGCCUUCCCAAUCGACCAAAAUCAUCAGCAUUCCUUAAAGACAAUUUUCCAAAAAUUACCUAAGACAACGACUACGUACCUUGGUACUCUGCGACCCCUCAUGGGUCAAACUCAAUGACGAAAUAGGCUGCACAGCAGCUUUCUUUCGAACUACUCACCGGUUCAUCAUCAGUGUCAGCCACGGCGAUCUCCCUUCCCUCAGGCUGCGGCAAGAAGCCGAAAAGCACCCGGGACUGCAAACAAACAAUUGUUACUCGAAGGUAUUGCCAUACCUCAAAAUACACAAGUCAAGUAAAGGAACAUACCUCUGUUGGCCCAUAGCAACAAUCAAACUGACGAAGAACUCUCAGAAGCACUGGUACCCCCUGAUAGUUUCCUAAAAAACUUCCCUAGCAACGCCUCCACAUCAUCAUCAGAUAUGUCAUCAAGGGACAUCCGUGAUGGGUCAUCAAAACCCAAGUACUCCUAGCCUGAGCGAGCUCGUUUCUGCAAAGGCUGAACCAUCCGCUUGAGAAAACUGGCGGCCACAUUGAUGCCAGUCAAGCCCAACGAUUUCAACUCGGCAAUCUGAGUCAGCAGGUUAGCAAUUUCAGGGGUGUCCUUGGGCUCGCUCACCCAAUUAUCCACAUGCUUUGGAGCGUGUCCAGUGACCACUGGCAAGAUAGGAUCAUGAUUCCCAACAUAAAACAAUCUUUUCUUCCAGUCGUCAUGAGAGUCAGGCAAGACAUACUCGAGAUAAGCACUCGAGUUCCUUAGCUGAAAACCGGCCCCUCCAAAAACCUCGGUCCUAGUCGCACUGGGCUGAGGCUUACAGCGAAACAACUUUCUAAAAAGCUCAAGACUAGGAGGGACACCCAGGUAUGAUUCACACAAGUGUACAAAGAUAGCCAUAUGGAGCACGCCAUUGGGAUUAAAGUGAACUAACUGAAGAUUGUAGUACCCGAGAAUACGUCUGAAGAAGUCAGAGGUUGGCACUGUCAGUCCCCUCUUGAUGAAGUGUGCAAGCAUGACCAUAUCCAAAAGCAGGCCUCCACUCGAGUUCAAGCUUUGACUGAAGAAGCUUAGCAUCAACCAAAGCCUGGACUGCUGGUUCCUUCAUCACGGAGUGCUACCAGGUGAUCCCAAGCGGCGGUUGCGCAGUUUGGUUUGUCGGGCCACACUUCGGCGUUGGCAGCACGAGCUCUUUGCCUUUUUUGGAUUUAGAUGUCACCUUACUGGUGGCCGCAGCUUGCCCUUGGGUUUUCUCCGGUUUCUUCUCCAUCUUCUUGAAGCGCAUCAGUCAGUCUCGGGAAAAGUGAAGGAGGGAAGGAUCUGUAGCAGAUCUCACUCAAGGACAAGGAGAAAGCAACAAUGGCGGCGGCGGCGCAGGAAAGGGCGGCGGCUCAAGAUGAACAGGAAAGAGGCAGAAAAACAGAUCUGCUAAAAUAACGUACCACUAAUUACCACUAGGCUAGCCCAAUUAUAUCUCCAUCACCUCCGGAUUCCAAGCGUCAAUCAAGCAACGGUCAGAUAUAAAUCAGAUUUACCAGCAUAAUUUCCAACGGAUACUCUGACCAAAAGGUUUGAUCACUUCAUCGACUACAAAUAAUCGCCUAAGUGCUCGGGGGCUGCGGAUACCGUACCCGCUGGAUAAAGUUUUCUUUUUUCUAAAAACUACUAAAGCUAGAGCAAAGUCACAGGAUUGACCCUCAGCCUGAUUCUUCGAUUCAACCUAAGGCUCGGGGGCUACUCCAUAUGGAGUGUGAUUGUCAUCGCACUACCAUAUAAAAAGUCUCAAGGAUACUCGAGCGAGGAUGCUGAGAGUACCUUCCAGUUGCAUGAUAGCACCGGUACUCAAAGGAUCGGCCGCAUCUACAAAAGCACCAAGGAGAACUCAGGUGACACCCUCAAGUACCCGGAGCUUUCCUCUCGACUACAAAGUACCGGGGGCUUGUCAGGCAUACAUCCCUGGGCCCACGAGUAGGCCUUGUACGGCCCACUCAGGGACGUACUCAGAUGAGAUCAGGAUAUGGAUGGCUACACCAGAGUAACGUAGCCUCCAGACCCCUAAAGACUAGUCAGAAUAGACAAGGAAACUACUCUGCCGACUAGGAGUAGGAUUUUGUAACCAUGUCUGACUAGAACUCCACCCUGUAACCCUGCUCCCCCGACUAUAUAAGGGUGGGCAGGGACUGCCUCAAAAUAGAAGCUAAGAAGUUCAAUACAAUCAACACACAAUAUGUAGGGUAUUACGCGAUCUAGCGGCCUGAACCUGUCUAAAUUGCAUUCCCUGCAUCACCAUUGGCUCCUUGAUUCUCAACGACACCCACCGCACAAAAGACCACCUAGGGUACCCCCUAGGCAGGUUGCCGGUCUAAAACAUCGACACAUACCUCAUGAUAGAGACAACAAGUUAACAGCACAACUCACGAAAAUGGGCAACAAUUUAAUAGCACAACUCACAUAACAAGCUUAUAAACUACUUGACAAGGAAUCACUGAUCCCAUCUAUUCCUCGGAACUCGGCUCACCAGGAUGGUAGCAGAGACAUUGCAGUCCACGGCGGCAAUCACGAGGCUCCAAUAAACAGUAACGAAGUAGUCAACUAGCCAAGACAGCACAGCCGAAGGCAAAGUAGAGAUGAACGCGAGGCCCCAAGGCAAAAUAGGGACACAUGAGAGGUUAGCUGCACCAAUUCAGCAAAAAGCCCUCGCCACCGCAGAGCUGAUCGCGAAGCCUCAAUCUUCAGCGACCUAAGAGAGGUAAUCAAGAACAACCGUCGCCGCGAACGCGAAAGCGAAGCCAAUGACUAUGAUCAUUUCCCCACCUUCACCACAUGGGUAACGAAGACUAAACUACCCAAGAAGUUCAAGCCGACAGGGAUCACCAAGUACGAUGGCAAGAAAGAUCCAGUCCAAUGGCUACGAUGCUACUCACUAGCAGUUCAAGCAGCUAGGGGUAAUGAUGAUACAAAGGUCAUUCACUUCCCCAUAUGCAUGGAACCCAUGCCGUUGACAUGGAUUGAGUCACUCAAACCAAAAUUGAUCGAUUCCUGGGAAGACUUGACGAAGGCUUUCACUAAUAAUUACGCGGGCUCCAUGUCUCGCCCAGGCAACAAAAUUGACCUGAGCCAAGUCAAACAGAAAGAAAGCGAGACACUUCGCGACUACCUACGUUGUUUCUUUGAAAAUAAGGCUACAAUAUUUGACAUUUCAGAAGGUGACAUCACCGAGUGCUUUCAAAAUGGCCUCUAUGAUCGUCGAACAUACCAAGACUUUGGCAAAAAUCACCCAGCCACUGUCAAAGAUCUCAAAAUCAUGGUGCAACAAUGGGCAGAUGAAGAAGACAAAGAGCGAGAGAGAUUCGGCUCUCAUCGCAACCGUGGUUGCGACAACAAUAACAAUAAUCAUGAACAAGAUAGAAACCACAACAAUGAUACUCGAAAUAGCUACUCGGGUAAUCAGAACCGCAAGCGCAAACCUGACAACACUGUCGCGGCUAUGUCCAACUCAGGUAAGAAAGGGUCACACAAACGCAAUGACGGGCCCUCAUUCACCGAGCUACUCAAGAAACAAUGCCCAUGGCAUCCAAAGAGCAAACACUCGGUGAUUCAUUGCUACAGCAUGUGCCGAGUAAUGCAAGAAUUACCUGCACCACCCCCUCCCGUAGACAUUCAUUAGAAAAAAGGACAAGGGUAAAGGCAACAUCGACGAAGUUGACGAAGGUGAAGGUGAGUUCCAAACUGCCUCUAAGACGGUCAACGUCAUUUUUGGUGGAAUCCCGGGUAUCGCGUCCAAGCGGUCCAAUAAGCUAGUACUUAGAGAGAUUAUGGUUAUCAAGCCAGCAGCUCCUACACCACUCAAAUGGUCUAAGGUGCCCAUAACUUUCAGCAGAAAGUGGACAAGUUUCUCAGAACCAGGCCGAUUCCCUCUGAUACUUGACCCUGUCAUCGCAAGCUCAAGACUUACCAAAGUACUCAUCGAUGGCGGAAGCGGACUCAACGUCAUUUUCACCAUAACAAUAAAGGAAAAUGUGCCUCGUCUUCAUAGACAUGCUUAUUCCAAUGGAUUCACCAUUUUACGGAAUUGUCCCAGGCAAUGCUGCCAUACCUUUAGGACAAGUUGUCCUACCAGUCACUUUAGGGACCAAAGAACAUUAUUGAACCGAGUACAUCAGGUUUGAGGUUGCUGACUUCGAAACUUCUUACCACGCCAUACUCGGAAGACUAGCCCUGGCCAAGUUUGUGGCUAUACCACACUACGUGUACCUGGUACUCAAGAUAAUAGGACCUAAAGGCAAGUUGACACUAUGUGGAGAUUUGAGGCGAUCGUACGAGUGCGACACGGAAGCUGUCGAAAUCGUAGCGACUUCUCAAGCACCCAAUCCCAUGCAACAAGUCUUCAUAGCAUCAAAGAAACUUAGCCCCACAGAACUCAAGAUCCCAGAAAACAAGUCGGGAUCGACUAAUGUGAAACCAGCAAGCGAGGAGGACUUCAAACCUGUCAAUCUCCAGACUGGUGACUCAUCCAAGACAGCCCUGAUCGGAACAGGGCUAGACCCUAAAUAGGAAAGCGUGCUCAUCAGUUUUCUUCGGGCUAACCAUGACAUCUUUGCUUGGAAGCCAGCUGACAUGCCCGGUGUGCCCAAGGAGCUGAUUGAGCAUUCAUUAAACGUCAACCCCAAAGCUACCAUAAAAAGACAAUGACUACGAAUGUUCGCCCAAGACAGAAGAGAUGCAAUCAAAAAAGAGCUAGCCAAACUACUCGCAGCAGGGUUUAUCAAAGAGGUUUCCAACCCUGAUUGGCUAGCCAACCCUGUAAUCGUUCGCAAGAAGAACAAUAAGUGGAGGAUGUGCGUCGACUACAUAGACCUCAAUAAGCAUUGCCCAAAGGACCCCUUUUGACUACCCAGGAUCAACCAAGUAGUCGACUCCACAGCUGGGUGUGCUUUGCUCUACUUUCUUGACUGCUACUCAGGCUAUCAUCAAAUAGCCCUCAAAGAAGAAGAUCAAGCCAAAAUAGCUUUCAUCACCCCGUUUGGAGCAUUUUGCUACAAAACAAUGUCUUUCGGGCUAAAAAACGCAGGUGAAACCUAUCAACGAGCCAUCCAGAUGUGUUUCGAAAAGCAACUACACCUCAACGUAGAAGCUUAUGUAGAUGACAUAGUUGUCAAAAUAAGAAACCCCGAUGAUCUAGUCAUAGACUUAGAAGAAACAUUUGCAAGUCUACGAGCAUUCCGGUAGAAACGAAACCCUACAAAAUGCAUUUUCGGUGUACCCUCGGGAAAAUUACUCGGAUUCAUCAUUAGCCACCGUGGCAUUGAGGCCAACCCGGAGAAAAUCUCUGCCAUCACAAAUAUGCAAGCUCCAGCCAGCAUCAAGGACGUGCAAAAGCUUACAGGCUGCAUGGCAGCCCUCAAUAGUUCAUCUCAAGACUUGGAGAACGUGGAUUACCCUUCUUCAAGCUACUCAAAUGCCAAGACAAGUUUCAAUGGAUAGAAGGGGCAGACAAAGCCUUGACACAGCUCAAGGACUUUCUAUCAAAACCACCAAUCCUCAUGGCUCCAUCUCCAAACAAGGACUUGCUCCUAUACAUAGCUGCUACUACUCAUGUUGUCAGCAUAGCAGUAGUAGUCGAAAGGUCUAAACCAGAUCACAUUUACAAAGUCUAGAGACCCAUCUACUUUGUCAGUGAAGUACUCUCGGACUCCAAAACUUGGUACCCACCGGUGCAGAAGCUACUCUACGCAAUCCUUCUUACCUCACGAAAACUGCGACAUUCCUUUCAAGAACACAGCAUAUUUGUUAUCACCGACUUCCCACUUGGUGAAAUCCUUCAUAACAGGGAUGCAACGGGUAGAAUCUCCAAGUGGGCAGUAAAACUCAGAGCUCUGUCUCUAGAUUUCAAACCCAGAACAACUAUCAAAUCCCAAGCUCUGGUCGACUUCAUGGUGGAGUGGAGGGAAAACCAAGUACCAACACUAGUUGAAAGGCCAGAGCAUUGGGUUAUGUACUUCGACGGUUCCCUCAGGCUUAAAGGCGCCGGCGUAGGAGUACUCUUGAUCUCUCCAAAAGGUGAACAACUCAAAUACAUUCUCCAGAUCUUUUAGAAAGUCUCAAACAAUGAAGCUAAGUAUGAAGCACUUGUACAUGGGAUUUGUCUUGCAAUAUCACUCGGUAUCAAACCACUACUAGUAUAUGGUGACUCGCUAGUCGUCAUUAACCAAGUCAAUGAUGAGUGGGGUCGCAACAAGGAAAAUAUGGACGCCUACUGCAAGGAAGUUCACAAACUAGAGAACAAUCUCAGACUUGGAGUUUCACCAUGUUGUUCGCGACAACAACGUAGCCGCUGAUGUGUUAUCAAAAAUGGGCUCAACCCGUGCAGAAGUUCCGGCAGACAUUUUUGUACACGAGCUUCGCAAGCCUUCCAUAACAGUACAAGAUACUCCUACAACUACCAACACAAAACCUCCAGAACCCAACUGAGAGAUCAUGAUGAUUGAAGUUGACUAGAGAUCUCCGUUCAUCGACUACAACAAAGAACAAAAGCUACCAUCUGACAAGAAACAAGCUGAACAAGUCUCACGAUGAGGAAAGAGCUAUGUUUGUCGGUGUUUUAGACCGGCAACCCGCGUAGGGGUUACCCUAGGUGGUAUUUUGUGCGGUAAGGGCCAUCGAGAAUCAAGGAAUAAAUGGUGACGCAAGGAACACGAUUUAGACAGGUUCGGGCGCUAUAUCGCGUAAUACCCUACGUCCUGUGUGUUUGUAUUGAUCUUAGAUGUACUUGGAGUUGUUCUGUUUGAGGGGGGGUCCCUGCCUACCCUUAUAUACACGGGAGGGCAGGGUUACAAGUCCGAGUCCUAGCCGAGUACAAUUACAGAGUUCUACUCGGUAUGGCCCGAGUAGUUUUCCAUGUGCAUACUUGACUAGUCCGAGUAGGAUACGCCUAUCCUCUUGUCUUGAUCAUAUCCGAGUACAUCCUUAGUGGGCUGUUAAGGGUCUAAUAGUGGGCCUGGGGUGCAUGCCCAACAAGCCCCCGAGUACUUUGUAGUCGUGCGGCACAGUCUCGAGUACUGUGGGCACUAUCCGAUUAGUUCGUCAUAGAGGUAGCAGUGUCCAAAGUGCUCGAGUACUGUCACAUGGUUGGAAGGUACUCUUCCUAUUCCUUUGAUUUGCUUCCUAUUCCAAGAAUUUUAUAUGUAGUGCGAUGACAAUCGCACUCCAUAUGGAGUAGCCCCCGAGCCUUAGGUUGAGUCGAAGAGUCAGGCUUAGGGUCAAUCCUACUUCUUGGCUGUUUUACUCUUGGUAAUCUGAAAAAGAAAAUUCUGACCAUCGGGUAUGGUACCCGCAACCUCCGAGCACUUAGGCAAUUUUUGUCGUUGAAGUGGUCAAGACCCGUUGAAAAGAGUAGCUGUUGGGUGUUUAAGGCAAUUAAUCUGCUUAAAACCCAUCCGUAGCGUAACUGAUGCUUGGAAUCUGGAGGUGGCGGAAAUAUAACCGGAGGGCCUCCUUUCGGUUAGGUUUUCGCUCCACUGUGAAUCAAAUCUGCUUUUCUUCUUCCCUUUCCUUUCUGCUCCUUUUUCCACCACCGCGAUUGUCUAGCGCCACCGUCACCAUUGCAGCUCUUUGAGAGGGAUCCGAGGUUUUCUUGCCUUUACUGCGGUUGAAGUCCACGGAUGCGCACCAAGAAGAUGGGAAAGAAACCCGAGAAGACUCAGGGCAAAGCUCCAGUGGCGAUGAAGGUGAAAUUGAAGAAGGGGAAGGAGCUGGUGUUGCCGGCAUCGAAGGUGGGGCCGACGAAUUGAACUGCGCCGCCACCGCUUGGAGCGACAUGGCAGCAUUCUGUGAUGAAGGAGGUGGCCGUUCAGGCGCUUGUCGACACCAAGCUUCUGCAGCCAAAACAAGUACUCGAGUGGAGGCCUGCCUUUGCUGAUGCGUGGCAAUUCGAGACGCAUCCGAAUGAGAUGGUUAUGCUUGCUCACUUUGUGGAGAGGUGACUGGCCGUGCCUACCUCUGACUUCUUCAGAGGUAUCCUCGAGUACUGUAAGCUUCAACUUGUACACUUGAACCCCAAUGGUGUACUGCAUAUGUCGAUUUUUGUGCACCUUUGCGAAGUUUACUUGGGAGUUCCGCCUAGCUUUGAACUAUUUUGGAAAUUGUUUCGCUGCAAGCCUCAGCCUAGUGCACUUAGGACGGAGGUCUUUGGGGGCGCCGGGUUCCAACUUUGGAACUCAGGCGCGUACAUUGACUAUAAUUUGAUUGACUCCCAUGGGGAGUCGAAAACGAGGUGGUUUUAUAUUGGGAACCAUAAUCCUCGCUUGCCGGUGGUUACUGGUCACGCGCCAAAGCAUGCGGAUAACUGGGUGAGCGAGCCUAAAGAUACCCUAGAGCUUGACCACUUGCUGCACCAGAUUUUUGAGUUGAAAGCACUCGGCUUGACUGGAGUUAAUGUGGCGGCCAGCUUUCUCAAGAGAAGAAUUCAGCCCUUGCAAAAACGGGCUCACUUGGGUAGGGAGUACUCAAUGACCCAUCACGUAUGUCUCCGGAUGAUAUUUCUGAUGAUGAUGAUGUUGAGGCGCUGCUAGCCAAGUUCUUUAGGAACAAUCAAGGAGUACCGGUCAUUCCUUCAACUCUUCAUUAGUUUGGUAUCAGCCAGAAGUGGUAUGGCCUUUCACUUUGACUUGUACUUUUUUGAACUCUUGGGAAAUUUGUUUGAAUAUCGACUUGUUUUUGUAGUCCCGAGUCCUUGUUGUCUAUCUAGCACAGUCAGAAGAAGAAUUUGUUGUUGAGAAGUCAGAGGACGAGCCCUAUCCUCCCAUGAAGAAAUGCCGAGUAGUCCGCUGUCACACCCGGUUUUAAGGACAAAACCAAGUGCUACCUAUAUGUAUGCCAGGAUCAAGUUUCAUCCAUAUAGUGACAUCAUUAGUGAAUAACAGCGACAGUAUCACGUAAAAAGAUACAAAGACUUACGAAACCAUCAGAGAUAUACAGCUUAAUUAUGGAAACGGAGGCUCCAAACUUCACAGGCAAUCGACUGGGGUUGCGUACGCCUAGGACUCAGCACCAUCUUCACAAUAACUUCAUAGCAGCUUCUUCUUCUGAGCAACGUUGUUUAUAGCAAGGGUGAGCACUUGUCGUACUCAGCAAGUGUGAGGAGAAUAUGAAUGCAAGGCUUAAACAAGGAAAGGCUGACCGGUUGACUGCAUUAAGCAUUUUUAGUUGGUCAAAUUUUAUUAGCACCUGAUUACUAAGGUAUAAGUAUAUACCAACCCACAAUUAAUAGAGACAUAACCAUAAGCCAUAAGCAUAUGGCACAACCAUAACCAUAGCAUAAACCACAAUUUAAAUCCAUCUUCAAGUAUAUUACUCAUGUGAGGGUCCAGGCCGCUCUUAACCGUGAGCACGGCUGAUCGAUCAGUUUUACACUCUGCAGAGGUGGCACAUCUUUACCCACAAGUCGCGUAAAAGUUCAAAAGAACUUUAGACCCAACCAUGCUUGUGCUGAUCAGGCACAAUACCACACUUCCAAGGUGUGAUUGCAUAGGGACGCUACGAGGCCUUUACAAAGAUUCACUAGUCAGUGGUAACCCGCUAAGGUUUCGGUGUCUGGCGUGCACCACCCAUCCCAGGUAAAAUGCAACGACUCAGUCCCCCCUCUUGCCUCAUCACGAGUAAGGUCACCCCAGACUAAGGUUUCUAAUUAAUCAGCCAAGACCAGAGCCAUUUAGUCUUGUGGUAGCACUGUUUUCCUGGGUGGUUCUCCAUGUUCCAAUUAACAUAAUGAUCUUGAAUUAAAGAAAGGUGUAGCAUAAAUAAAAUAAGUUCAUCAUCUUUGUUCAUUAGAACCACCAUAACCCAAGUAUAGCAGCUAAGCAUAGCUACCCAACAGAAAGGUAAACCCAGGUUGGCAAGGAAUAAUCAUAAAAACUAGGCAAACCUUAAUAGGACCCAACAAAUUUAAUGCAAGCAUAUGCAAUAGUGAUUAAACAAAGUUAUUAGGACAAAAGCACAAGGACACACUUGCCUUUCUCCAACGAAAAGUUACUCUUACUUCUCUUCGGCUCUUGUUCACUUGAAACUCUUAAUCUUCAAAGCUUUCGAACAGCGAUCCUUCUACUCGAAGCAAUCACCGGCACAAUCAUACAAGUAAACAAACAAAUAAAACUAAGAGCAGUACACCAAAACAAAAGGAAAGCUUUAAAAGAGCGUACUAACGACAAGGCUCGAUCUAAGGUCACGCGAACAUAAGGAACACUUAAAACGGAACUAUGGUUGAAAAGAUAAAGCUAUCGAGAGUUUUGAAUUAUAAAAGAAAGAUAAGAGCUACAAGCUUUAUUUAUUUUAGUUGAGAAAAGCAAUGUAAAGAUAUUUUAGAGAAAUAUCCUUAGUUAGAAUUAAUCAAGUCAUAUUUAUAUUUUCAUAAGAAAAGACGGUGUAAAGCUGACUCCAAUUUUAUUUAUAAAUAUUUGAGUACAAUUUAAGCAAAUUAAACAUUUAAUUUAAAAAUAAGAUACAUGUAGACAUCUAAGCGUAUAGCUUUACAUCUCGAGUUCAACUAAGUAGAUUAAAUUAAAAAACAUUUAUAUUUAUAUUAGCCAAAUUAAUAUUUAAUUAUGAAAACUCGAGAUAUAACCUAUACAGAUUUUAUUUAGAAAACAAAUUGAAUAAACAUUAAUCAAAUUGAAUUUAAUUUAUGAAACGCCGAGGUAUAACUCUAAGUGGCUUUUAAUUGGAAGAAUUAUUUAGAUAGGCAUUAAUCCAAUUAACUUUAGUUUAUGAAAAACCGAUAUAUAACCUAAUUGGCUUUUAUUUAGAAGAGGGUAUGAAGUAGGUAUUAAUCAAAUUAACAAUUAUGAUGAAAAAUGAUGUUUAACACUAAAUAGAUUUUAUUUAGAGAAGAACUCAUUUGUCAGGCAUUAAUCAAUUUUAAUAUAAAUUUUAUUUUCAAAAACAUGUGUGAAGGAAAACAUUACCACUAACGUGUAAUUUACAUCAUUAUGAAUCUAACGCAACUUGAACGGACAAAAACGGAAUUAAAAUGUAAAAUCUAUGGGUUAAACGGCGUUGCAGGGGUCUAAACGUAAUUAACCGUAGACUUGGAGGGUUAGCAAGGAAAUUUUGCAAGACACCAGGAAUAGUGCUCGCGAAAAGGUGAAAACUCGGGGUUAGGUCUGCAAAAGGUCAAGGCUUGGAUUAGAUUGAAAGAAUGCAAGAAUUACAGGGGCCUCACUGAAAGAUUUACAAGACACAAGAAUUAAGAAAAAGAAAAUAGGAGAGGUCAGGGGCUAGAUUGAAAAGUGGCACCUCAUCUUCUUCCUCACGCCAGGAGCAUGGCGCAGCUCCUGGCCGGCGGCCUGCCGGGGCUCCGGUGCGGCGGGGACUCGGGUGGGUGGUCCAGGCGGUGGUGGCCGGGCUGCUGGCCCCGACGGUGAUGUGCGGGCGGCAUCUCGGCCAGGAGCAGGCGGCGGACAGAGGGGCGCCUGCGAGCUGCGAGCAGAAACAGAAGGAGUCUGUUGCAACUGUUGCAGAAACAAGGAAAAGAGAGAGAAAGAGGGGAUCGUCGGAAACGAAGUCCGAUCUCGCGCAUGAACGGCAAAAUGGAACGAUAUCGACGAGACGAAUAAGAUGGUGUGCUCACUUUCGACCAGAGAUGAAUAAUGGCGGCGGAAAAGCUCGCCGGAGUUGGGGAAGACGACGGAGCCGACAUCGGAUUCAUGCAAUCCACCACACCACGGCGUAGAGCUUGAAGAGAGGAACUCCAUGGUGGUGUCGGUUUUCGCCGGAAGUCCACGGUUUCGCCGGAAAAGCUCGCCGGAGUUUGACGAAGACCGAACUUUGACUUCAGAUCUACGGAGUUAGGAGAGGUAACUCGUGAAAAGGUUUGUAGUGAAAUCCUCGCGUCGAGACGAACGCGGUGAUAUAUAUAUAGGCCACACUCGGAAAAAGAUAUUUUCGAGUUGACUUUUUAUUUUCAGAAUUUCUGAUUUUAUUUAUCUGCGCGAAAACAAUUCCAGAAAUAGCUGGACUCAUUUUCUAAGGUGAGAAAAAUACCUAGAAAAUUCCGAAAAAUCUGAGAUAAAUCUCAGAGAUGAAUUGGGAUGCAAGGAAUCCAAAUAAAAUACUUGGAGCUCGUGAAAAGGAUUCUAGAGCCUUCCAAAAAUUGGAUUUAGCUCUAGGAAAUGGAGAAUAAAUUCCAGAAAAAGAUGGAAAAUCCUCACAAGGAUCUGGGCAACGUCUAAACGCAUUUUUCAAACUUGUGCACUCAAGAAACACCAAGAUGCAGCGACAUGAAUGCACAGACAUAGAACAACAAUAUUUAAUUUAUAAAAGCAAAUAAUUAUUUUUCCUAUACUAAAUUUCCUGUAAAGAAAAUAAUUGUUGGGAAAAUUUUAAAAUUAUGAGAAAAUCAUUGUUUAUUUAUUCCUUUUAUUCACAUCCUGAAAUUCGGAAAUUUCAGGGUGUGACAACACUACCCCCCUUAACAAGAAUCUCGUCCCGAGAUUCGCAAAGGCUAGCAAGAGACAAAGGUUUAGGUGGGUAGCAUCCAACACUUAUUAGCUUCUUCCUAGAUCGUUCAUCCUUACGUAAGCUUCUCAAUCAUGCUUCUUUAUGCUUCACUACAUCACAUAAAACACUUUAGGGAUACUUAGUCUAAUUCCUCUUUUAAGUAUCCUUUCCUUUCCUCUGCUUCUUUGGCCCAUCUUUGAAGAAUUUUCUUCAUUUCUUGGUAAAGUGAUUUGAAUAGAGCUGAAUUGCUUCCCUCUGGCUCGACUAUCAUCCUUCAAGUCUUCAUACACAUCCUUUAGUCUUCUUCUCCAUCUGGUCCAAACGCUUCUUGGAACAUUGUCUGAUGAAAUGUCUCUCUUAUUUGCAGUAGAAACAUGUUAUUCUUGCUUUGGUACUUUGGCAACUAGAUGUGGUAUGGGAAUUGGCAUUGGAAAUUGGUGGCAUUCUUUCUUGACUGAGGCAUCCUAAUUAUUUGUCCUGACAAAGAGGCCAACUGAUGUUGUCGGUUUGAAUGCAGGGCUAUUGGAUCCUUGGCCCUGGGGUUGAUCAUCUUUCUCUUUUGCACACCAACUAACAAGAUGUUCGUUCUCUCCACACUUGAGGCAAUAUAUUUUGGCUCCAACGGACCUGGUCCACUUACACUUUAUUGGAUAGUUAUUUGUAUAAUGGCCUUCUUCACCGCAUCUGAAGCAUAGUCUUUUAUUACAUCCUUCUUGUCUUCCUUUCUGCUCCAUGGUAGCUAUCGGUGGAAUAGCUUGCGCAUUGGGAUUCUUCUUGAUGGGGUUGCCACGUGGAUGGUGAACAACUUUAGGCUAUAGUUGGUGGGAACUAGGCUGAGUACUAUUAUCUGCCAAUGGUUGUGGUAACUCCAUCUUCUUUUGAUUUGCUUUACUAGUUGGCUUCUUGGCUUGCCUACUCCUCCAGGGCUGAAAUUCUUUGAAAGAGAUACUCCAACCCUCAAAGUUCAUAGUGUGAGUACUAUCUUCAUCUUGAGUGACUUCCUCUUGGUCUAGCCCUUGGGCAUACAACUUCCUCUUCUUAUUGAUGUCCAAAUAAUAAUGUUGUCUAGCUUCAACUGUCAUUAAGCUAUCUUCUUCCUGGAGACAUGGAAGACCAUGGUGUUCACAACACUGGCGUGUUCCCAGAAUCUUAACAUCCUCAUGUUGCCUCUCCAUUUCUAGCUCUGGCGCUAUACGGCUUGGCUUGUUCCUUUGACGGUUCCAUGCUUCGGCAACUUGCCUCUUCAGUGGUCCAGUAGAAAUUCUAACUUUGGUCAUUUCCAUGUUAUGAGGGGUUGAUGUGUCAAUCUGUAUCCUUCCUUGCAAGACUUGAGCCUGCAUGGUUAAUAGCUUCUCGUUGUCGAACGGUGGUGGAACAGACGGAACCUGAUGGUCAUCACUAGUGAUAGGGCUGUGGUUCUGAGGAAGUGAGGCUUGCUCUGUGAUAUACUGAUGGAUAUUGACCAUGGUUUGAGACAUUGCUUCUAAAACAUGGGUUUGUGUUGCCAUAUACUCUAACAUCUUGCGUUCGAAUGAUGCGGCUACAGGUGGAAUGUUAAGAUCUCCUUCAUUGGCCCUAUCUUCAUGAUUUUCAUUGGGACUCGCCAGUUGAUUCGGUGAUAACGAUAGGAUCAGAAGAAAAUAGGAAAUGGAUAAAAUUGCAGAACAAGAUAGAGCACUUCAUGAUACCUUCAUCUUUUCUUGGGUUGUCAUCCGAGUAAGGUAGAAGGAAGGAUAGAAAGCAGCAAAGUGGCAAGUAAACUAGGGUAGGGCCUUCUUUUCUUCGACUUGCUUCUAUUCCGACGGUGAUAGUGGCGAUAGCCUCUGCUUGUUGAUAUUGGUGUUGCCUUCACUCUCUUCUUGAUGUCCAUCAGAAUUGGGAGAUAGAAAGAAAAAUAACAAGGAUGUGGGAGGUACAAGCAGACUCGAAGAGAGAAAAGAAAACAAAGAGGUGGGAGACAACAAGUUCCUUAUGGUAGAGUGGAUAGUCUUCCAUCUUUGCUUGUCGCGAGUAGAAUCUCGGUGCUUUCUUCAUCUUCUUUGAUUCUCGUAAUCAUCAUUAGAGUAAGAUGGAGAUCAAAGUAAAGCCUUCUAUUCUUCAACUUGCUUCUAGCGAGAUGGUGGUGGUGAUGUUAACUCUUGCUUGUUGACGUUGGUGUUGACUUUAGUUCUCUCUUUUCUGAUGCCCUUCAUUGGUUCGGGUAGAAAGGAAUGGAUGACAAGGAUAUGGGAGAUUCAAAAGAAGAACCCAGCUAGGCAACUGAUGUCAUUGUAGAUAGAAGACCCACAAUACACCAACAAUCAUUACAAAGAAACAAAUCAGACAAUUUCAUAAAGACAAGCAUCAUCAUGCAAACACAAAAUUCCACCAGUCAACACAGAGUCAAGAAACGAUGCUAAACAUUGUUAAUAAGGCUGCAAGGGGUACUCCUAAGCAGAUGUUGUUUGGUAAGGCUUCAACAUGCUUGGUGUAGGUACCUUCGACUUGUCAAGCGUCGACUCCAGCUUUUUGAUAGUGUUGGCGGUGGGGAUGGCAAAAUCUUCUCUAGGUGGUGAAUAGGUAGCUCCAUUCUUCAGAUGUCUUGAGCAGGCUUUAAGAUAGGUGGCAUGGAUCAUCUAGAUAUUUUUGAAUAAAAUGAGACAUUUUGGGAAUCAAAAGUCAAGGAAAAGAUUCCAAGGUAGCAUUUAUUUGAAAAGCAACGAGAGGUACAAUGGGGUAGAUGGAUAUACUGAAAAUAAAGUUAAGGAAGAGAUAGGUUUACAAGGAUAAGUAUGUAAGGAAAAUAUUAAGGAGAUAAAUGAACAGGGGAUGAGAGAGUAGCAAUAUCACUAAGAAAUCAAGGAGGUGUAUUGCAUCAAACAGGUAAGAUCAUUCAUCAAGAAGGAGAUGCAUGAUCAAGAUCAAGCAGUGAUCAAGGAGAGAGGAAAUAAAUAGACAAGGAUUGAGGGUCUAACAUUUGCAAGACAAGAAGUGCAAAUGAAAAGAGCUCAAGUUAUCAUGGAGGAUUGAGAAAAGAAAAUGAUCAAGGAGUGAGAAUAUUUUUCAGAAAGGUCAAGGAUAAGGCAGGAAUUGUUUAUAUAGUAAAACAGACCUUAGGAAGUGACCAUUGCUAUCUAGGCUUACGUCCUACAGUCGAUACGGCUCUGAUACCACUUCUGUCACACCCGGUUUUAAGGACAAAACCAAGUGCUACCUAUAUGUAUGCCAGGAUCAAGUUUCAUACAUAUAGUGACAUCAUUAGUGAAUAACAGCAACAGUAUCACGUAAAAAGAUACAAAGACUUACGAAACCAUCAGAGAUAUACAGCUUAAUUAUGGAAACGGAGGCUCCAAACUUCACAGGCAAUCGACUGGGGUUGCGUAUGCCUAGGACUCAGCAC
RNAcentral lists this long non-coding RNA (18757 nucleotides) under Setaria italica (foxtail millet). RNAcentral describes it as "long non-coding RNA (SITA_LNC006879)". Lineage: Eukaryota; Viridiplantae; Streptophyta; Magnoliopsida; Poales; Poaceae. The record is from RNAcentral.